Molecule: long non-coding RNA, 314 nt
Filed under: Androctonus crassicauda
Lineage: Eukaryota; Metazoa; Arthropoda; Arachnida; Scorpiones; Buthidae
Source: RNAcentral
UUAUUUUACUUACAACUAAACAAAAUCCUGUUUAUUAUAAACAUAUGCACUCUUAUCAAAAUAGCCUAUAUAAUUUAGCUUACAUAUGUUUCUUUCGCAUUAUUAAUUUUUCUUUGUAUUGCAGUUCUUAUCCUAUUUUUCUCCCUUGUAUCUUCACCCCUUCACAUCUCUUCCUUGGAAAUACCAAGGAAGAGAUUGUGGAAGGAAGGGGCACAUCUACAGAUUGCCUUUCAUUAAUUAUCUCGCCAUUCUCACUUCCUUCCCAUAUCUUCAAACUCUCUGCUGUAUAUAGCUUGUAAGGAAUGAAAAAAAUA